This 213-nucleotide ribosomal RNA is filed under the name uncultured bacterium. Its description in RNAcentral is "partial 16S ribosomal RNA". It matches the Rfam family "Bacterial small subunit ribosomal RNA", at positions 1287 to 1500 of the family's 1533-position model. The record is from RNAcentral.
CCCAGUUCGGAUUGUAGUCUGCAACCGACUACAUGAAGCUGGAAUCGCUAGUAAUCGCGAAUCAGAAUGUCGCGGUGAAUACGUUCCCGGGUCUUGUACACACCGCCCGUCACACCAUGGGAGUCGGAAAUGCCCGAAGUCAGUGACCCAACCGUAAGGAGGGAGCUGCCGAAGGUGGAGCCGGUAACUGGGGUGAAGUCGUAACAAGGUACC